This 754-nucleotide ribosomal RNA is filed under the name uncultured archaeon. Its description in RNAcentral is "bacterial SSU rRNA". It matches the Rfam family "Archaeal small subunit ribosomal RNA", at positions 102 to 859 of the family's 1478-position model. The record is from RNAcentral.
AGUCAACAUGCCCAGGGGACGUGGAUAACCUCGGGAAACUGAGGAUAAACCGCGAUAGGCCAAGAUUUCUGGAAUGAAUCAUGGUUUAAAUCUAUAUGGCCCCUGGAUUGGACUGCGGCCGAUCAGGCUGUUGGUGAGGUAAUGGCCCACCAAACCUGUAACCGGUACGGGCUCUGAGAGGAGGAGCCCGGAGAUGGGCACUUAGACAAGGGCCCAGGCCCUAUGGGGCGCAGCAGGCGCGAAACCUCUGCAAUAAGCGAAAGCUUGACAGGGUUACUCUGAGUGAUUUCCGCUAAGGAAGUCUUUUGGCACCUCUAAAAAUGGUGCAGAAUAAGGGGUGGGCAAGUCUGGUGUCAGCCGCCGCGGUAAUACCAGCACCCCGAGUGGUCGGGACGAUUAUUGGGCCUAAAGCAUCCGUAGCCGGUCCUGCAAGUCCUCCGUUAAAUCCACCCGCUCAACGGUUGGGCCGCGGGGGAUACUACAGGGCUAGGAGGCGGGAGAGGCAAGCGGUACUCGAUGGGUAGGGGUAAAAUCCACUGAUCCAUUGAAGACCACCAGUGGCGAAGGCGGCUUGCCAGAACGCGCUCGACGGUGAGGGAUGAAAGCUGGGGGAGCAAACCGGAUUAGAUACCCGGGUAGUCCCAGCUGUAAACGAUGCAGACUCGGUGAUGGGCUGGCUUCGUGCCAACCCGGUGCCGCAGGGAAGCCGUUAAGUCUGCCGCCUGGGGAGUACGGUCGCAAGACUGAAACUUAA